CUUGGGGUCCAAAUAGAGGAAAUCAUAUCCACCACAGAGACACGCACAGCAGAAACCCCAAAUAUGACCAUUAUGUUCAACUCAGCAGCCUUUUUUCCUAUUGGCUUAUCACCAUUACCAGUCUAGCUUCUGAUCUCUGAACCGCAGUCAGGACUCAAUUCAGUCUCUCUACGUGGGGAGAAAAGUUGGAAUAUCUCCCCUCCAGAAGUGAUAAGAAAUCCAAAGAGAAGAGGUGAAAAGCUCAUCUUCAGCAUGACAUUCCUCAGUGACCAGAAUUUUGAGCUGACAAGGACAGAAACUCUUGUGAGUGAAGUGUGUUAUUGAUUUGUGCGCAGCUGUAGUGCAGAGAUCAAGCAAAGUUCAAGGCAAUACACUGUUAAAUUCCUCUCGGAUUAAAAGGAAAAAUCUAAUUCCUUCCACUAAGGUACACAAAAUGAAAACUCUUAAUAUUUUGAAUUUAAAAUUGAUCACUU
Molecule: long non-coding RNA, 473 nt
Filed under: Phasianus colchicus (ring-necked pheasant)
Lineage: Eukaryota; Metazoa; Chordata; Aves; Galliformes; Phasianidae
Description: lncRNA (ENSPCLG00000006326.1)
Source: RNAcentral